Molecule: transfer RNA, 73 nt
Filed under: Pseudozyma flocculosa PF-1
Lineage: Eukaryota; Fungi; Basidiomycota; Ustilaginomycetes; Ustilaginales; Ustilaginaceae
Description: tRNA-Leu (TAG) (tRNA-Leu-TAG-1-1)
Rfam family: tRNA
About the family: Transfer RNA (tRNA) molecules are approximately 80 nucleotides in length. Their secondary structure includes four short double-helical elements and three loops (D, anti-codon, and T loops).
Source: RNAcentral
GGCUGGAUGGUGAAGUGGUUAACACGCCAGAUUUAGGCUCUGGUAUGCGUGGGUUCGAACCCCACUCUAGUCA